RNAcentral lists this ribosomal RNA (253 nucleotides) under uncultured bacterium. RNAcentral describes it as "partial 16S ribosomal RNA". It matches the Rfam family "Bacterial small subunit ribosomal RNA", at positions 524 to 776 of the family's 1533-position model. The record is from RNAcentral.
UACGGAGGGGGCUAGCGUUGUUCGGAAUUACUGGGCGUAAAGCGCACGUAGGCGGCUUUGUAAGUUAGAGGUGAAAGCCCAGGGCUUAACCCUGGAAUUGCCUUUAAGACUGCAUCGCUAGAAUCGUGGAGAGGUGAGUGGAAUUCCGAGUGUAGAGGUGAAAUUCGUAGAUAUUCGGCGGAACACCAGUGGCGAAGGCGACUCACUGGCCCGAUACUGACGCUGAGGCGCGAAAGCGUGGGGAGCAAACAGG